CCCCAGCGCCACAAGUGGUAGCCGCUUUUAUUGGGCCUAAAGCGUUCGUAGCCGGCUUGGUCUAUCUCAUGUGAAAUUGUUCGGCUUAACCGACCAACGUGCAGGAGACACUGCCAAGCUUGGGACCGGAAGGAGUCAGAGGUAUGCUCGGGGGAGCGGUAAAAUGCUAUAAUCCCGAGUGGACCACCUGUGGCGAAGGCGUCUGACUAGGACGGAUCCGACGGUGAGGAACGAAAGCCAGGGGA
Molecule: ribosomal RNA, 245 nt
Filed under: uncultured archaeon
Lineage: Archaea
Description: partial 16S ribosomal RNA
Rfam family: Archaeal small subunit ribosomal RNA
Source: RNAcentral